GAUGAACGCUGGCGGCGUGCUUAACACAUGCAAGUCGAACGGUGAAGGCGGAGCUUGCUCUGCUGGAUCGGUGGCGAACGGGUGAGUAACACGUGAGCAAUCUGCCCCUGACUCUGGGAUAAGCGCUGGAAACGGCGUCUAAUACUGGAUACGAGCUGCGAAGGCAUCUUCAGCAGCUGGAAAGAAUUUCGGUCAGGGAUGAGCUCGCGGCCUAUCAGCUUGUUGGUGAGGUAAUGGCUCACCAAGGCGUCGACGGGUAGCCGGCCUGAGAGGGUGACCGGCCACACUGGGACUGAGACACGGCCCAGACUCCUACGGGAGGCAGCAGUGGGGAAUAUUGCACAAUGGGCGAAGGCCUGAUGCAGCAACGCCGCGUGAGGGACGACGGCCCUCGGGUUGUAAACCUCUUUUAGCAGGGAAGAAGCGAAAGUGACGGUACCUGCAGAAAAAGCGCCGGCUAACUACGUG
RNAcentral lists this ribosomal RNA (468 nucleotides) under uncultured bacterium. Its description in RNAcentral is "partial 16S ribosomal RNA". It matches the Rfam family "Bacterial small subunit ribosomal RNA", at positions 28 to 507 of the family's 1533-position model. The record is from RNAcentral.